AACAAGAUCAACUCUAGUUGAGAGUUGGGAGUGGCCUUAUGUGCGUGCUUUGCGGUGCAUUUGGCUUGAACUGAUCGAGUUGAUGAGCUUCCCAGCGCGGUUCAAUGUGUGCUAGCGAGACAGUCGUCCCGAUCUCACAUUUCCGCUGCGUUGCAGAGUUCUGACCACAGCUCGCUAAAUUUCAACAUAUCAU
This 193-nucleotide unclassified non-coding RNA is filed under the name uncultured Rozellomycota. Its description in RNAcentral is "uncultured Cryptomycota sequence contains ITS2". Lineage: Eukaryota; Fungi; Rozellomycota. The record is from RNAcentral.